This 527-nucleotide ribosomal RNA is filed under the name Symbiodinium sp. clade D. Its description in RNAcentral is "partial Eukaryotic large subunit ribosomal RNA". It matches the Rfam family "Eukaryotic large subunit ribosomal RNA", at positions 1476 to 1926 of the family's 3401-position model. Lineage: Eukaryota; Dinophyceae; Suessiales; Symbiodiniaceae. The record is from RNAcentral.
UGAGAACUUUGAAGACUGAAGUGAGAAAGGGUUCCGCGUGAAGUGCAUUGCGACGCGGGUUAGCCGCUCCUAAAAGAUAGGGUAGUUCCGUAUUAAGAGUGGGCAAUAGAAGGGGCUGGCGCUUCGGCGCGCGGCCUCUUCACGACCCUGCGUCGUUCCAAUAUUGCCCGGCCUAUUGAAAGGGAAACCGGUUAAUAUUCCGGUGCUUGGAUUAGGGAUAUUUUUGCGGCGACGCAAACGAACCUCGAGACGCGAGCGCUGCCCCCAGGAAGAGUUCUCUGUUCUUUUUAACAGUCAUUAGCACGAAAACGCUGAUGACCGCGGAAUCAGUUUGUCUGGAGAAGCGGUCAAAAGACUGGAAAAGCAUUCCGACUUUUGGGGUGUCUGGUGUGGCAGCGAUCGUCCAUGAAAAUCGAGGGGAGAGAAUUAUUCUCCUGCCAAGGCGUACCCAUAACCGCAUCAGGUUCUCAAGGUUAAAAGCCUCUAGUGUUUAGAAUAAUGUGGGUAAGGGAAGUCGGCAAAAUAGA